RNAcentral lists this ribosomal RNA (253 nucleotides) under uncultured bacterium. RNAcentral describes it as "partial 16S ribosomal RNA". It matches the Rfam family "Bacterial small subunit ribosomal RNA", at positions 524 to 776 of the family's 1533-position model. The record is from RNAcentral.
UACGGAGGGUGCAAGCGUUGCUCGGAAUUACUGGGCGUAAAGCGCGUGUAGGCGGUCUCGUGUGUCUGGCGUGAAAGCCCCGUGCUCAACCCGGGAAGUGCGUUGGAAACUGCGAGACUAGAGUUCCGGAGAGGAAGGUGGAAUUCCAGGUGUAGCGGUGAAAUGCGUAGAUAUCUGGAAGAACACCGGUGGCGAAGGCGGCCUUCUGGACGGUGACUGACGCUGAGACGCAAAAGCGUGGGGAGCAAACAGG